This 497-nucleotide ribosomal RNA is filed under the name uncultured bacterium. RNAcentral's name for it is "partial 16S ribosomal RNA". It matches the Rfam family "Bacterial small subunit ribosomal RNA", at positions 28 to 507 of the family's 1533-position model. The record is from RNAcentral.
GAUGAACGCUGGCGGCGUGCCUAAUACAUGCAAGUCGAGCGAACGGACGAGAAGCUUGCUUCUCUGAUGUUAGCGGCGGACGGGUGAGUAACACGUGAAUAACCUACCUAUAAGACUGGGAUAACUUCGGGAAACCGUAGCUAAUACCGGAUAAUAUUUUGAACCGCAUGGUUCAAAAGUGAAAGACGGUCUUGCUGUCACUUAUAGAUGGAUCCGCGCUGCAUUAGCUAGUUGGUAAGGUAACGGCUUACCAAGGCAACGAUGCAUAGCCGACCUGAGAGGGUGAUCGGCCACACUGGAACUGAGACACGGUCCAGACUCCUACGGGAGGCAGCAGUAGGGAAUCUUCCGCAAUGGGCGAAAGCCUGACGGAGCAACGCCGCGUGAGUGAUGAAGGUCUUCGGAUCGUAAAACUCUGUUAUUAGGGAAGAACAUAUGUGUAAGUAACUGUGCACAUCUUGACGGUACCUAAUCAGAAAGCCACGGCUAACUACGUG